Molecule: long non-coding RNA, 2398 nt
Filed under: Lactuca sativa (garden lettuce)
Lineage: Eukaryota; Viridiplantae; Streptophyta; Magnoliopsida; Asterales; Asteraceae
Description: long non-coding RNA (LSAT_LNC005300)
Source: RNAcentral
AUAUGAGGAGUUGUUCGAUCACGCCUUCGCCUCCGUGCGAUCAUCAGAAGUACCUGAAACAAUAAUCGAUAAAUGUAAGCUCGAAGACUUAGUGAAUUACCCCCAAAAUACCAACACCAUACACAUAUAACCAUAUCAUAUAAACAUAUAAGCAAACAAAUACAACAUACAUAAUGAGCCAUCAGUCUGACUGGACCAAAUCCCGGUCCUCAGUCUAUCUGGACCGCUCUUUGAGCCCUCAGCACAUCUGGACCGCCCUCCUCGGGCCUUCAUCCUAUCCGGACCGCUCACUGGGCCUUCAACCUGAGAUUUGCCCUGCCCGGGCUUGCAGUCUACCCGGUCCACCCAGGGUGUCUUGGCCUACUGCACACAGCAGGACCCGCCUCAACCCUUUUCCCCAAACCAACAAAUAUGUGUACAUACAUAUAAACAAUUAAGAAUACAAAUCUAACAUAUCACUAAUCAUGGCAACCAUCCUUUACCCAAGAUACCUAUCUAACCGAUCACUAACAUAGCAACCACCCUACAAUCAGGAUAUCGAUCUAACCGAUCUCUAACAUAACAACCAUCCUAAUUACCAGGAUGUAAAUCAAUAAACAUGUCAUGUAAUAAACCUGGAUGCGAAUCCGGUAAGGGCUGGCAUUGGUGCCUUAGACCCUGUUGAUAUAGUGAGGACCUCACCUGACACUGCUGAAGUCCCGCUGAUAAAAUCCAGCUGCCGGUUGACAGCUUCCCGAACUGUCAACAUCAAACAAUACCCGAUUAAUAAUUAGGUUCCAAGCCCAAGGUCCAACUCACAUUACAAACGCCCAAUAAUCAAGUAAUGGGCUAAAACCCAACAUAUGGCACAAUUUUCCAAAUUGGGCCGAACCCUUCACAUAGGCCUUACCUUAAGGCCCAUUCAAUUAUUCUAGUCCAAACUCUAGGUAUUCCCAUGGCCCAAUAUCACAUAAUCCUAAAGGUCUAGUUAUGGCCCAUCUAUGGCCCGAUUUUCCAAAUUGGGCCCAAGUCUCUCACAUGGGCCUUAUGCUAAAGCCCAUCUAAUUAUUUUGGUCCAUUAACUUGUUCUUGGAUAGCCUAUCCAUAGUCCAAUCACCAAAGCCCAAAAGGAAGGCCCAACUCAAGGCCCAAGUGAAAAUAGGGUUUCACAUGAAUGACGAUAAGGGUUAAGUGUUCCUACUUAACCCAUUAAGGACUUAAUCCAUUAAGGACUUAAUUCAUUAAGUCCAUUAUUGCCUUAGGUUAAUUUGCCCAUGAUUAUAAUUUAAUAUUUUAAGUUUAAUAAUUAAUUCAAGUAUGAGUCCCGAUCAAUCCCAAAAUUAGGGUUUCAUGGCAUUAGGGUUUCCAACCUAAUUGCUAGCCCAUUAAUCAAAUGGUGGGGCUUUUGGGUCCAUUAGGGCUUCCUUGGGCCCAUUAGAGUUCUUUGGGCCCACUAAGGUCUCAUUGGGACCACUAGGGUUUCAUUGGGCCCAUUUUGUCCAAACAUCCCAAAUGAGUCCAAAAAAAUGCAAACGAGGCACACCGCCACCCAACACGGCGACUGGUGGUGCCAGCAGGUGGCAGCGACCACCCUACGGUGGUGGUUUGAGAUUUUCUUUUCAUUAUUCCUACUCUGUUACUGUUUUACAAUGCAAUCUCGAUAACACACACACACUAAGCUACACACAACAAUAAAAUUAAACACACCCACAACCACCCUUAUGGUUGUCGGUGGUGGUAUAUGGUGGCAACCACCAUAGCUGGCGGCCAUGGUGGGUUCUCCAUUUCCAGCCAUCAAACAAUAUCAACAACACACUAAAUUCUAAUUUAUACAAACGAUCCGUCUACCCACCUAGCGACAGUGGCGACUUGGGAAAACAGGCAGCAGCGCUAGCGGCAACGUCGUCGGCGACAACCACCAUGGCCAGCUGCCAUGGUGGUUUGUCUUUGAGUUUUUCUGUCCCUCGAGCAUCCCUAUUGCAAUCCGCAACCCAAGUCACCCACGAGCUCGCAAGGCACGACAGAAGUACGCACACCCGAGCUUAGCAACGGUGGCAAUUAAUCGUUGAAACAUCGACUACAUCUACAGAAGAAGAAGAAGGAGGAGGAUAUGAUGGCUCACUGAUUGAUGGCAAUAGAACAGCAACGGCACAAGACAGUGGCAUUAACAGCUCUAUCAACCAGCUAUAGUGGAUUUGGACUUGGCUGGUGGUUCCCGAGCGUUUGUUACAUUCCUGGUGACGGAUGAGGGCUUCCAUGGCGGCGACGAAGACUAGAGGGCAUCCUAAUCGAGCGACGUUGGUGGUCACACACAUAGCUUUGUCAUUCCGGGAUCAAGGUGAGCUUGAGGGGGUUUGAUCUGGUGGUUGGGGUCUCAACCGGGGUGGUGGUGGCAGGAAGUUGGGUGGGUGGCGGCUGC